UAACUCAAAUGGGCGUCUUCUCCACACCUUCCUUCCAAUACUUAAAGUCGUGGGUGUUGUUUAAGCAAGAGAGAGAGUGAGAGAGCCCCAAAUGAGAAGGGGCAGAGAAGAAAGGAAACUGAGAGGUUCCAGUCUCCAGUGACGACGGAUCCACGGUGGUUUGAGGCGGAGCUACGACAGUGGAGCCUGACAGCGGUGGUUUAGGGCGAUUCACCUGCUUGCUUCACCUUUCCUUUUUCUCAAACGACACUUGUCACCUCUUUCUCAAAAGAGGAGAAAGAGGGUCGUCGCAUCAGAUGAAAGAAACAGAGUGAUACAAAGGAAGAGGGGGAGAGCGAGGAGAAAGAAAGAGUGAGAACGAAGACAAGAAAGAGCGAGAAAGAGGGAUUCGGAAGAAACAGACAGAUCUGGAGCCGGCGAGUGUCCGGCGAAUGACCCCGGCACAUGCUCGCCUCCCAAUCGUACAAGGGAAGAUGUAGAAACCCUCGGUUUUUAGUCAGAUCGGCUCAUGUUUGGUGUUUACAACGGUCAUGGCGAUAGGGAUGUGGCCGAUCGCGUGGAUUGUUUGUUCUUCGUCAUGGUUUGUUCAAGGAGUUAUGCUGUCAAGAUGCUUUCUGGUCAAAGGUCAAAGUUUGGUGCUGCCUUUUACCAUCAGCCAUGUACCAUACAAGUAUUGAUUAUCAUUUUUUCAUGUACCAGUUCAUUCUAGAAUGCCAAUGAUCAACAUUUUCCUGGUAUUUAUAACCUUUAUCUAUUCUACAAACCACUUUUAUGACUUGAAUUUCAAUUUUGUUGAAUGAUUUAGAGCUGUAGUGAUGUUGAAAUUUCCUUAUUUUAUGAGUCAUGAUUAGAAACAACCAAUGGAUACUUCUGAGCACGCUAAUUUCAUUAUGUUUUAUUUUAAAUUCAAAUAAGUACAAUGAAGUUAAGAUACCAUUAAGCUGAUGGGAAAGUUGUCGGAAAAUGUAGAAAUAUAAACUGCAAAUACACUUUUGGUUAUAAACCAGGAAAAAGGGUUGUUAGCUUUGAGUAAGGGCGUUAUGGUAAUCCUACUACCCAUGUUUCCGAGGAAAAGAUAAGGUAUUGUUAAUUCGGUAUUGGUUUUCAAUUUAGUUUCCCCUUUGAUAAAGUUUCAACUUCUUAUCUAAUUAUCUAUGAACUUUUUUCUAAUAUCUUUUGUUUAAUUACAUGUAAUUUUAGGUAUUGGAAUCUGAUUGGUGAUGUGAAAGGAAAGGUUGCUGUCAUCUUGGAUGCUAAGUUUGACACAGCCAGUGAGUCUUUUUAAAAAUAAGUCAAAUAUUAGUGCCACCUUGUAUCACAAUUUUGCUACAUUGUGUGUUGUUUUUCAGGAACCCGGCCGCAACGCGGCGGGUACUUUUCCUAGUAUCAUCUAAAAAUCACUUUGUUCUAUUGCGGCUGCUCUAAAGCAGUAAGUGCAUAAAUACUGAUUCUAAUAUUUCAUUUAAAAUGGAAUUUUUUUUUCAUAGA
Molecule: long non-coding RNA, 1488 nt
Organism: Helianthus annuus (common sunflower)
Lineage: Eukaryota; Viridiplantae; Streptophyta; Magnoliopsida; Asterales; Asteraceae
Exons: 2
Source: RefSeq, a predicted model, not a curated record